Long non-coding RNA from Leptinotarsa decemlineata (Colorado potato beetle), 2537 nucleotides. Lineage: Eukaryota; Metazoa; Arthropoda; Insecta; Coleoptera; Chrysomelidae. The record is from RefSeq and is a predicted model, not a curated record.
UUGUUCACCAAAAUUUUCUAAAAAUCUUUGUAAUCUAGAUGGUACUCUACUUACGUUGAAUUCUGCUACUUUUGUUUCUUCUAUUAUUUUUUGGUUACCUAUCGGGGUGUCCAAUAACAUGGCAUCGUCGUCUAAUGUUAUAUCUCUGGAUGUUGGGGUCCAAUUUACAUCAGGGGGUUUCCCCCCGCUAUUGACACUCAUAACUUCCGUAAAAUUCAAUUUAAUUAGCGAAGUUUCUCUAAAAAACCACUAUUAAUGCAUAACUCACUAUCGAACGUUUCCGUUAGCUUCGGAGCAAGGCCGUACUGUGUGACAAAAAAGGUUGAAAUUAUGUGUUAACAUCGAAAAUUUUGUGAAGAAUUUGAUGAUUCGCCGAACAUAUCUGAGACGAUAACUGACGAACUGAUGCAGAGGUGGUAUGGUCCAGAUGUCAUCGUGGCUGAGCUGAAGAGGAGAAGUGGAGAAACGAUCCAGAUGAAGAUGAUAGAUGUGCCAAUCACGGAAAAGCUGGAGAAGUUCGUCGAGGAUGUCAAGUAAGUGGAACGCUGCUAGUUUACAUUCCAAAUAAUUUUCUUUAAGAUGAGUAUGUCACUAUAAUCAUACUUAUUUUUAUCAAAAUCGGAAUUUUCACAAUGUUAUAAUUGUUGGCAAUAAUUCAAAAGAAAGCAAAAUAUUUCUUUUGAAAAAUCAUAAUGUGGCAGUUCUUAAACUUGUUGCUUUUGUAGUUGCGUAAAAAAAUUUUUAUGGUAUCCUUCAUCAAUGUUCUAAACUGAUUAUCUCUGACCCACAUUGUAUAUCGAUUUUUAUGUUGCUAGAAUUAUUUUUUGAAGAAUUAUUGUGUUAAGAUAUUGGAUCAGUUACAUUACCUUUCCUACAUCUUUUUCCUACAGCAGGAAGUCGGGUAUUAGAUACAUAGAUUUAUUCUCAAUUGAUACACAAAAGUGCUUACAGUCGUCAGUUACAUAAAUGAAUGUCAUCAGAUUAUAAACCAAUGGCUAGUUACAUGAGUCAGAAUAAAUAUCUUAAAAUGUUAGUUUAACUAAUACAACAUAUAUGCACAUAGACAAAAACUUACUAAAUAUAGUUAAAAUAAAUAAAAGUUUACCAAUUAUGAGAACACAUGCUUUAUCCGGUCAUAAUAAUCAUUUGUACUGUAUAAACACAUAUCCUUCAAGAUUUCUUUAAUUUUAUUUCUGAAACUAGUCAAUGACACGUUUUGUAUAUGGUCUGGAUGCUGGUUGAAAUAGCUUAUUCCUACUAUUUUGGUUUUGUUAAUUCUAUGGCGAGGUUGUAAAAUAUGAUUUUCCCCCUGGUGUUAAAUGUGUGAUUAAUUCUGUAAUUUGAAAAAUUAUCUAUGUGUUUUCUAAUACAUAUAAGAUUUUCGAACACAAUGCUGGAGUAGAGUCAUAAUACCUAGUUUUUCAAAAAUUGGUUUGCAAGAGUCAUCAAAUUUGGCUUUUACAAUUGAACACACAGCAGCCUUUGCACCAUAAAUAGUCUUUGCAAGUGGGUAUCAGCUGCCCCAACUAAAUAUUCCAUAUGUCAUGAGAGAAUGAAAAAGUGCAUAGUAAACUGUAAUAGCAAUAUCUUUAUUAGUGAGAUGUGAUAUGCUGCGUAUGGCAAAUACUGUUUUUGACAAUUUGCUACACAAAUAGUCAAUUUGAGGUAUCCAAGACAUGUGAUUUUCUAAAUAUACACCAAGAAAUUUGACACAUUUAGUUUCAACAGAUGUAUAAUCAGUUGUAAAAAUACAAGUUUGAGUUUUAUUGUGAUUUAGAUACAAUUCGUUGAAAUCAAACCAUUCUUUUGCCGUUGACAUAAUAUUUGUAGGAAUAAUAAAAGGUUUUCAUUUUUGUUAUUAGAAUAUAUGAAGUUUGUAUCAUAUGCAUACACUAUUGUAGUUAAGUUGUCAUAUAUAUUGGUCAUAAAAUCAGGUAAAUCAUUUAUGUAGAUUAAAAAUAGAAGAGGUCCCAAUAUGGACCCCUGAGGAACUCCUCUUUUUGAAGUCAGUUUCUCACUGAAUUUAUUAUCCCUGUACACAGCUUGAUAUCUUCUUUCUAAGUAAGAACAUAUUAAUUUGUUCGCUAGUCCUCUUAUUCCAUACCUGUGAAGGUUUUCUAUGAGCUUGGUAUGAAUUACACAGUCAAACGCCUUAGAAAGAUCGGUAAAGAUUGUGAUGCAUUUAUUUAUUUAUUUUCAUGAAUAUUGUUAAUGAGAGCCAUAAUUGCAUCGGAGGUGCUUUGGCCUUUCCUGAAACCGUAUUGACAAGUUGAGAAAAGAUUGAAUUUUUCUAGAUAUUUAAUUAUUUUGUUGUGCUAUGACUCUUUCUAGUAUUUUCGAAAAACUGGGUAAAAUAUGAAUUUGACGGUAAUUUACUGGUAGGGUUGGGUCCCCACUUUUAUAGAUAGGCAGUACCUUGACUGUUUUAAGUAAGUCAGGAAAUGUUCCCUCUAGUAAGCUGCUGUUUAUUAUUUCAGUUAUUGAACCAACGAUAUUAUGUGAGAUGCACUUGAUCAGAUUAAAACUUAUUUCAUAUA